This 75-nucleotide transfer RNA is filed under the name Candidatus Portnoybacteria bacterium CG02_land_8_20_14_3_00_45_8. RNAcentral's name for it is "tRNA-Arg". It matches the Rfam family "tRNA". Rfam says of the family: Transfer RNA (tRNA) molecules are approximately 80 nucleotides in length. Their secondary structure includes four short double-helical elements and three loops (D, anti-codon, and T loops). Lineage: Bacteria; Candidatus Portnoyibacteriota. The record is from RNAcentral.
GCCCUCGUAGUUCAAUGGAUAGAACGUAGGCCUCCGAAGCUUAAGAUACAGGUUCGACUCCUGUCGAGGGCACCA